UCCCUGAUGGUCCAGUGGUAAGACUGUGAGCUCCCACUGCAGAGGGCCUGGGUUCAAUCCCUGUUCAGGGAA
RNAcentral lists this transfer RNA (72 nucleotides) under Ovis aries (sheep). It matches the Rfam family "tRNA". Rfam says of the family: Transfer RNA (tRNA) molecules are approximately 80 nucleotides in length. The record is from Rfam by way of RNAcentral. Lineage: Eukaryota; Metazoa; Chordata; Mammalia; Artiodactyla; Bovidae.